UAGUAAAAUGGUUUCCGGAUGAUAACUCAAGAACGCUUAGGCCUAGGAUCAUGAAACUUCAUAGGUAGAUUGAUAAUGGCUGGCAGAUGACCCCUAUUGAUUUUCAGGUCACUAAGUCAAAGGUCAAGGUCACAGUAACCCGAAAUAGUAAAAUGGUUUCCGGAUGAUAACUCAAGAACGCUUAUGCCUAGGAUCAUGAAACUUCAUAGGUACAUUGAUCAUGACUGGCAGAUGACCCCUAUUGAUUUUCAGGUCACUAGGUCAAAGGUCAAGGUCACGGUGACCCGAAAUAGUAAAAUGGUUUCCGGAUGAUAACUCAAGAACGCUUAUGCCUAGGAUCAUGAAACUUGAUAGGUAGAUUGAUCAUGACUUGCAGUUGACCCCUAUUGAUUUUUAGGUCACUAGGUCAAAGGUCAAUGUCAUGGUGACCCGAAAUAGUAAAAUUGUUUCCAGAUAAUAACUCAAGAACGCUUAUGCCUAGGAUCAUGAAACUUCAUAGGUACAUUGAUCAUGACUUGAAGAUGACCCCUAUCGAUUUUGAGGUCACUAGGUCAAAGGUCAAUUUCACGGUGACCCGAAAUAGUAAAAUGGUUUCCGAAUGAUAACUGAAGAACGCAUUUUCCUAGGAUCAUAAAACUUGAUAGGUAGAUUGAUCAUGACUCGCAUAUGACCCUUAUUGAUUUUCAGGUCACUAAGUCAAAGGUCAAGGUCACAGUAACCCGAAAUAGUAAAAUGGUUUCCGGAUGAUAACUCAAGAACGCUUAUGCCUAGGAUCAUGAAACUUCAUAGGUACAUUGAUCAUGACUGGCAGAUGACCCCAAUUGAUUUUCAGGUCACUAGGUCAAAGGUCAAGGUCACAGUGACAAAAAACAUAUUCACACAAUGGCUGUCACUACAACGGAGAGCCCAUAUGGGGGGCAUGCAUGUUUUACAAACAGCCCUUGUUUUUA
This is a long non-coding RNA of Dreissena polymorpha, 950 nucleotides long. RefSeq lists it as uncharacterized. The record is from RefSeq and is a predicted model, not a curated record. Lineage: Eukaryota; Metazoa; Mollusca; Bivalvia; Myida; Dreissenidae. The transcript has 3 exons.